UGUGUGCCCAAGCAUUGAGGCAGUCAAAGUAGGCAAAUCCGCUUUGAUAAUGCUGGGAUGUGAUGGGGAGCGAAAUUUAGUAGCGAAGUAGCUGAUUUCACACUGUCAAGAAAAGUCUCUAUCGAGGGUAAAGGUACCCGUACCGCAAACCGACACAGGUGGGUGAGGAGAGUAUCCUAAGGCCAGCGAGAGAACUGUUGUUAAGGAACUCGGCAAAAUGACCCCGUAACUUAGGGAUAAGGGGUGCCACCAUCAGGUGGCCGCAGAGAAUAGGCCCAAGCGACUGUUUACCAAAAACAUAGGUUUCUGCUAAGUCGCAAGACGAUGUAUAGGAGCUGACGCCUGCCCGGUGCUGGAAGGUUAAGGGGAUCUGUUAGAGCAAUCGAAGCAGUGAACUUAAGCC
RNAcentral lists this ribosomal RNA (403 nucleotides) under Clostridioides difficile. RNAcentral's name for it is "bacterial LSU rRNA". It matches the Rfam family "Bacterial large subunit ribosomal RNA", at positions 1505 to 1919 of the family's 2925-position model. Lineage: Bacteria; Bacillati; Bacillota; Clostridia; Peptostreptococcales; Peptostreptococcaceae. The record is from RNAcentral.